AAUAAUGGAAACAAACAGCUACUUAGAACAUCAAAAGUGAUUCAUAAUAUAUAAAAACAAGCAUCACAAAUGAAAAGGCAAAACAUUAGUCUCACGUGAGUUGUAAAACUAGAGCAAAGGAAAUCGAACAAAACAAUUCAUACAUCCACGGCACAAGAUCGGGAAGUCGGGAGAUGAGUAAAGUUAGAGUAUGACCUUUUAGUAAUAACUUUCUUUGCUUUUAGCAUGAAGAAACUCAAUUGAUGGGAAACUGGCUAGAAAACUUAAGCUAAAUGUACAAGGAUCUCGAACUAAAAAUCGGAGCUCGGACGACGGCGACGAGAUCAACUCGAUCGGAACAGAAUACCACCAUAACUGACCUCCACCAUGGCAAUCUUCAUGACUAACCUUAAUGGCUUUUGGGAGUGUUUUCUCGGCAGAAUAGAGGUGAGGAGACCGGAUGCUACUGUUUGUGUUCAAGAGUGAAAAGGCAGCAGCGGCUUUAAAGGUUUUUCGGGGUUGUCUUAGUUCAGGGCGUGUAGGAAAAGGGUGAGGGUGUGUCAAGAAGAAGCCAUUGAAACGGCUCUUCUUCUCUGAAGAUGGAGCUCCGCUGGUGGGGGUGUGUGAUGAAGAUGAAAUCGUGAGGGGGGGAUUCUUUUUUCUUAGCCACAGCUUUUAUAGUGUCUCUGCGUUAUUUUUUU
Molecule: long non-coding RNA, 680 nt
Filed under: Nicotiana benthamiana
Lineage: Eukaryota; Viridiplantae; Streptophyta; Magnoliopsida; Solanales; Solanaceae
Description: long non-coding RNA (NBEN_LNC006409)
Source: RNAcentral